This is a non-coding RNA of Peromyscus maniculatus bairdii (prairie deer mouse), 2011 nucleotides long. Lineage: Eukaryota; Metazoa; Chordata; Mammalia; Rodentia; Cricetidae. The record is from RefSeq and is a predicted model, not a curated record.
AAAAAAAACUAACACUUGAGCUAGGGAUGUGACCUGGUUGGUAGAAUGUUGGCCUACCAUGCAUGAAGCCUUGGUUCAACCCUCCUGCACCACAUAAACCACAGUGUGAUGCAUGCCCACAGUCUCAACACUUGAAAGGACAAGCAGAAGUUCAAGGUCAUCCUUGGCUAUAUAGUAAGUUUGAGGCUAGCUUAGGUUACAUGAGACUGCAAUUCAUGAAUAAAAGUGAAAGCUAACAGUCAAGUUGGAAAUAUAGAUCAGUGGUAGCUAGUAUGCAUGAAAGCCUAGGUUCAAGUCCCAGUACUACAACAGUAAACAGUUUAAAGCUAAUACUUAGGCUAACCAUGUACCAGGAGCUAUGCGUAGUGAUUCCCAUGGGUCAUCUGACUUAGGUUUGAAGAAGUGACUGUAGCUAAUUCCAUACUGGAUUUAGAAUCACCAUGGAAACAGACUUCUGAAUGUGUCUCUGGGGGUGUUACCAGAAAGGUCUGACUAAAGUGAGAAGACCCACUCUGGAGGUAGGCUGUAUGUAUCCCAUGGGCUGAGGUCCUGGACUGAAGACAGUGAAAACAAGUAGAGCAGCGUCCCUCAUCUCUGCGUCCUCUCCUUGGACACAUUGUGGCCAGACUGCCUCCCAUUCCUGCCGUUGUGUGUCCUUCCAUGAUGUUCAAAAAAAUACAUUAAGCUAGGUGUGGUGGCACAUGCCUUUGAUUCCAGCACCCAAGAGGCUGAGGCAGCUCUCUCCAGGUUCCAAGCCAGCCAUGCCUACAUGAUAAGACCCCAUCUUAAAAAACAACAGCCAACAGAAAAGAAAAUACCACAAGGUAUCUGUCCGUUGAAGAUAACUGGAGACUACUGAGAAGACCAUUCUCACGUGCAACAUCCAUUUAUGAGAGUGUCUAUACUACGUGGACUCUAAGGUAAUGGAGCCAAGGACAAAUCACUCAUCUGGCCUCAGGGAGAGGCCAACCCUCCAUUCUGCAAGAUUACUACCCUGUAAUCACCCCCCCCACCCCCCACCCCAGUUCCUUAUUAUGCUGAUAGGAACCAGAGGGUUAGGCUGUACUAAAAGAAGGCUGAGGAAAUGAAACAGAAUCACACGUUUUCACUCCCUCUCCCACCCAAAGAAAGUUGCUCCCAGAUGCUCUGCCUGUUGUGCAGUUUCUGAUUCUAAAUGGUUCAAGGAGGAGGAGUUAGCCUGGGUGGUGCAAAGCCCUGUGGAAAAAGUCAUAGGAACAAAAGAAAGACGAGCCAGUGGAAAAGUCUGGGGGAGCAGGGUACUCCAAUAUUUCCUAGGUCAAGACACUAAGGCUCAAAAUAGUUAAAACACUAGGUCAGAAGUGGGUUCCCUUCCAUCCCUGCUCCUUGGAUUCCUGCCCUAUGUGUGGUGUUCACCUACAGUUGCCAAAGGUCUGCUGUUGCUUGUGAAAUAGGAGCCACUGUCUUCUCAAUCAGACUUCUUCCUCUCUUCCUCGACUUGCACAUGUCUCACGUCCAGGACCCAGAUCUGUUCUAUCAGGGCUUCUAUCAUCAAGCAUUCCAAACUUUAAAGGUAAUAUGCAAAAAGAAGUAUACUCAGAUGAGGGUACACUGUUAGUUACUUUAUUCUUGCUAUGACCAAAUUCCUGAUAAGCGAUGCAAGGAAGAAGGGUUAUUUUGGUACAGUGUUUGAGGGUAUAGUACACCAUGGCAAGAAAAGCACAGUGGCUGGUCAUAUCGCACCCUCAGUCAGGAAACAGGGAGAAAUGAAUGCUUGUACUCAGUUCACUUUCUCCUUUUUAUUCAGUCUGGGAUGCCACCCAUGCAGUGGUGCUGCUCACAUUCAAGAUGAGUUUUCCUUCCUCAGAGACACAUCCAAAGGUGUGUUUCCAUGAUGAUUCUAAAUCUAGUCAAAUUGAAAAUGAAGAUUGAAAAUCAGAAGAAUGGCAGACACCCCUUCCAAGUGAAGCAUUGUGGAUGGCCGUAUGAGGUGACCUGUGGUAUUUAGAAAAUGCAAAAGGAGGGCCAGCAA